This 328-nucleotide unclassified non-coding RNA is filed under the name soil metagenome. RNAcentral's name for it is "partial contains 5.8S ribosomal RNA, internal transcribed spacer 2, and large subunit ribosomal RNA". The stretch from base 1 to 120 matches the Rfam family "5.8S ribosomal RNA", at positions 35 to 154 of the family's 154-position model. The record is from RNAcentral.
GAUGAAGAACGUAGCGAAAUGCGAUAAGUAAUGUGAAUUGCAGAAUUCAGUGAAUCAUCGAAUCUUUGAACGCACAUUGCGCCCCUUGGUAUUCCGAGGGGCAUGCCUGUUCGAGCGUCAUUAUAACCCUCAAGCUCAGCUUGGUGUUGGGGCCUGCUGCACUGGCAGCCCUUAAAAUCAGUGGCGGCGCCAUCUGGCUCUAAGCGUAGUAAUUCUUCUCGCUAUGGAGUCCUGGUGGAUGCUUGCCAUCAACCCCUAAUUUUUCUAUGGUUGACCUCGGAUCAGGUAGGGAUACCCGCUGAACUUAAGCAUAUCAAUAAGCGGAGGA